This is a long non-coding RNA of Zootermopsis nevadensis, 815 nucleotides long. RefSeq lists it as uncharacterized. Lineage: Eukaryota; Metazoa; Arthropoda; Insecta; Blattodea; Termopsidae. The record is from RefSeq and is a predicted model, not a curated record.
ACAUUCUCCUAUCUAAUGGAUAUCGGUGUCCUUUCCCGGGGGCAAAGUGCGGCCGGGGCGUGACGCUGACAACUCUCGCCAAUUUAGUGUCGAGGUUAUUGAUGAGUGGGAGUUAUAAUUCUCACCUUCUAAGCGCCUACAAGACGUAUGCCGAAACAGUUUUACUUUUUCAAAGCACAAUAAACCAAGCUCUGACGUAAGAACGAUAAAGGUAAAACGUUCUGAUGGUACUCUGGAGAUCCUGCAUCGUAGUUUCCAUUCAGAUGGCAGCAGCUGUAUUGAUGGGGGAUAUGAGGAGUGACAGAAUGGAUUCAGGUCAUGUGGUUAUGCCUUCCAGGAAAAGGUCAUGACAUCAAAACAAAAGAAUUAAAUAAAGAAACUUUCUAAAGAGUAAGAAAUUGUAAUGUUUUAUUUUAAAUAUGACACAGUAUACCAUUGAAGUCUUUUCCAAUGUUUGCCGCCACCAAAUAGCGAUCAGCAACCCAGGCCGCCCUCGUACCUUAGUGUCGCAACUUCGAUCGUAAUCAAGGCUGACGCUUGAAUCGCAGUGGGGUGGCCAUGACAGACAAGUCGGGGUCUGGCAGAUGGGAGCACAACUGACACAGGAUCUACAACAGACGCGUCAAGAACAGAGCAUCAGGUAAACUGACUCAUCGGAUCUUGCGCGCAAGCAGUUGAAUGGUUUAAAAUGUUCACAUAUUUAGUGGUACAGUUGAAAUUAAUUAUAUUAUGUUUCUGAUGAAUGUGUUCUGUGACGUACACAAAUGUCAAGAGAUUAAAUAAAAAUUGUGAAAAAAUGUGUGUCAAACUGGCAA